This is a transfer RNA of Sistotremastrum suecicum HHB10207 ss-3, 72 nucleotides long. It matches the Rfam family "tRNA". From Rfam's summary of the family: Transfer RNA (tRNA) molecules are approximately 80 nucleotides in length. Lineage: Eukaryota; Fungi; Basidiomycota; Agaricomycetes; Sistotremastrales; Sistotremastraceae. The record is from Rfam.
UCCGAAGUGGUCCAAUGGCUAGGAUAUGUCGCUCUCACCGUCAUGGCCGGGGUUCGAUUCCCCGCUUCGGAA